CCGACCGGCGCACGGGUGAGUAACACGUAUGAAACCUGCCCGUAGCAGGGGGAUGAGCGGAAGAAAUUCCGUCUAAUACCGCGUAACAACCCAUGGAGGCAUCUCUGUGGGUUUAAAGGAAGCGAUUCCGGCUACGGAUGGUCAUGCGUCGCAUUAGCUUGUUGGCGGGGUAACGGCCCACCAAGGCGACGAUGCGUAGGGGUUCUGAGAGGAAGGUCCCCCACACUGGUACUGAGACACGGACCAGACUCCUACGGAAGGCAGCAG
This 267-nucleotide ribosomal RNA is filed under the name uncultured bacterium. RNAcentral describes it as "partial 16S ribosomal RNA". It matches the Rfam family "Bacterial small subunit ribosomal RNA", at positions 91 to 354 of the family's 1533-position model. The record is from RNAcentral.